This 399-nucleotide ribosomal RNA is filed under the name uncultured soil bacterium. Its description in RNAcentral is "bacterial SSU rRNA". It matches the Rfam family "Bacterial small subunit ribosomal RNA", at positions 29 to 427 of the family's 1533-position model. The record is from RNAcentral.
AUUGAACGCUGGCGGCGUGCCUAACACAUGCAAGUCGAGCGGUAACAGGUGUAGCAAUACAUGCUGACGAGCGGCGAACGGGUGAGUAAUGCUUCGGAAUCUGCCCAAUGGUGGGGAAUAACCAGCCGAAAGGUUGGCUAAUACCGCAUAAGUCCUACGGGAGAAAGCAGGGGAUCGUAAGACCUUGCGCCGAUGGAUGAGCCGAAGUCGGAUUAGCUGGUUGGUAGGGUAACGGCCUACCAAGGCGACGAUCCGUAGCUGGUCUGAGAGGACGACCAGCCACACUGGGACUGAGACACGGCCCAGACUCCUACGGGAGGCAGCAGUGGGGAAUAUUGGACAAUGGGGGAAACCCUGAUCCAGCGACGCCGCGUGUGUGAAGAAGGCCUGCGGGUUGUA